Molecule: ribosomal RNA, 234 nt
Filed under: Triticum aestivum (bread wheat)
Lineage: Eukaryota; Viridiplantae; Streptophyta; Magnoliopsida; Poales; Poaceae
Description: partial small subunit ribosomal RNA
Source: RNAcentral
AUGGUGUCAAUAAAGUUUUUGAGGUGUAUGAACGGGCAGUUCUUGCAGUUACUUAUUCAGUGUACAUAUGGUGUAAUUAUUGUCAGUUUGCGAUCUCAACAUACAAUGACCCAGAUGUCAUCAGAAUACUGUUUAAUCUGGGUUUGGCAUAUGUUGGAACAGAUUAUGGUUCCAAUACUUUGUGGGAUGAGUACAUCAAGAAUGAAGAAUCACUUCAAGCAUGGAGUCAUCUAG